Molecule: transfer RNA, 71 nt
Filed under: Toxocara canis (dog roundworm)
Lineage: Eukaryota; Metazoa; Nematoda; Chromadorea; Rhabditida; Toxocaridae
Rfam family: tRNA
About the family: Transfer RNA (tRNA) molecules are approximately 80 nucleotides in length. Their secondary structure includes four short double-helical elements and three loops (D, anti-codon, and T loops).
Source: Rfam by way of RNAcentral
GCGGCAGUAGCUCAGUGGUAGAACCUUGCUUCACAUGCGGGAAGACCUGGGUUCCAUUCCCGGCUGCUUCC